AUUGAACGCUGGCGGCAGGCCUAACACAUGCAAGUCGAACGAGUGGCGGAAGUGUUAUUAAUGUCUGGGAACCUGCCCGAUGGAGAGCGAUAACUACUGGAAACGGUUGCUAAUACCGCAUACAAUCAGCGGUGCCCAGAUGGGCUUAGCUUGUUGGUGGGGUAACGGCUCACCAAGGCGACGAUCCCUAGCUGGUCUGAGAGGAUGACCAGCCACACGGGAACUGAGACACGGUCCAGACUCCUACGGGAGGCAGCAGUGGGGAAUAUUGCACAAUGGGCGCAAGCCUGAUGCAGCCAUGCCGCGUGUAUGAAGAAGGCCUUCGGGUUGUAAAGUACUUUCGGCAGGAAAGCGUUACCCGCAGAAGAAGCACCGGCUAACUCCGUGCCAGCAGCCGCGGUAAUAC
Molecule: ribosomal RNA, 406 nt
Filed under: uncultured bacterium
Lineage: Bacteria
Description: partial 16S ribosomal RNA
Rfam family: Bacterial small subunit ribosomal RNA
Source: RNAcentral